This 1647-nucleotide long non-coding RNA is filed under the name Prunus dulcis (almond). RNAcentral's name for it is "sRNA ncRNA". The record is from RNAcentral. Lineage: Eukaryota; Viridiplantae; Streptophyta; Magnoliopsida; Rosales; Rosaceae.
CUUCAUCACUUUGCUUAAAUAGAAAGCAUUACAAAAAAAAACCCCUAAAAUUGAGUAGUGCUCAUAUCAAAUUCAAUCCAAUCUAAUUCUGAGCCGUGCUCAUAUCGAGUUCAAUCAUAUACUCCAAAUGAGGACAUGUUAAGGUGAUUUUCCUUAAUGAUGAUUCAGACCCCUUAUACUUAAGGUGAUAUUCAAUGAUGAUACUUUUUCAUUUGAAUUUUUUUUUCUUUUUUAACCUCGGAGAGAAUUGAAAGAGAAACAAAAAAACAAAAGUUGAAAAAACACUUGAAUAUUAUAUUUGUGUCUCUGGUGGACUAAAAUCACGUUAAUCUCUUUUGCCUUCUUUGUUGGUUUCUUAACUCCUAAGAAAUUCCUUCAUGCAAACAGUAUGAAAGUUCUGUUAAAGAGAGACAAGCUUUUGUAUCGAAGAGAUUAAAGGUAAGGUUGAAGACAAAAUGAGAAAGAAGAGACCAAAAUUAUGGGGUUUUUUUUCACCUUCAUGAAAAGCAGUUUUCCCCGUGAAAGACGAGAAAGGGGAUCGAUGAUAAAGGCAGGUAGCUAGGCAUGGACAAUGAUGUGAAACCGAUGCAAAUUCUGCCGAGGGGAUGAGACUCAAAAGCUAUGUGCCCAACCAAAAAGACUUCAAAAAGAGCCCUAAUAAGCUUCUAAAGAGACUCCACCCACUCAUUCUCAAAGCUUGUCAUCCUUAAUCAAUCCAUUUAUCUGUAAGAUGCUUAUUAUAUGGCUUAGACCACCACCACUUUGGCUCAAAAGACUACACAAAACGCAUCUUAUUUAAUCACUUUUUAUGGAUUCCUUUGAUCAUAAAACCUACUAUAUCAUAUAUAAAAAUAUAUAUAUAUAUAUAUACAUGCAGAACGUUAUCACCGUGCGAACACCAUUGUAAAUAGAGAGAAAAGUAGAGACGGAUAAUAGCAAAUACAUGGCGUCCGCACGGUACGUUCGAAUGUGUGAAUAGGAGAAAAAUCUGUAUAUUAUAUUCUUUCCUAAUAAUGUAAAACUUGAGUAUAUUAAUACGAUGGGACCAAAAAAGGACUGUGUGACUUUGACAUAAUCUAAAUUUUCACACGAAGUUCAAAUAACUCGUUUGAAAUCGUGUGCACCAAUUGUAUGAGUAACACGAGAUUUCUUUCCCAUCCUGUCAAUUUGCUGGCAAACAAGUUUUGACGAGUUGAGCGGGAAUGGUUUUUUUGACAAAGAGUCAUGUUCAGCCGAUCAGGGCCGUUAUUAGAGGGGUUGUGAACUUGUGAGCUGUGGGCUGUGGCUGGUUGCAAAUGCUCAAAAACUCUGCAAAUAAAUGUAAGCCGCAUGAGUAGACUAAAGUAGCACAAUUUGAGCUUGAGCAUGGUAUUAAAUAUUCUAGGUUUUCAUUUUGCACUUCUUCCAGUUUUCUUGGGGGGCUUUUUUUUUCAUGGGUUACGUACGCGUGCCGUACGCAACGUUCAUUUAAGUAGUUUUCUUAAUGCUGCAAAGGCCAUGGAAGUGCAAUGAUUUUUGCAAAAUAUGCAGGCUAAUUGAAGGGCCGAACACCUUUGUGUAGGAAUUAAUCUAGGCUGUGUGUGUGGCAACAGGGAGAACAUGAACAAUCUUUAAUCUCACACAUUGUCUGUAAUAAUUAUAUGUCAU